RNAcentral lists this ribosomal RNA (406 nucleotides) under unidentified microorganism. Its description in RNAcentral is "bacterial SSU rRNA". It matches the Rfam family "Bacterial small subunit ribosomal RNA", at positions 51 to 459 of the family's 1533-position model. The record is from RNAcentral.
ACACAUGCAGUCGAACGAUGAACCUCACUUGUGGGGGGAUUAGUGGCGAACGGGUGAGUAACACGUGAGUAACCUGCCCUUGACUCUGGGAUAAGCCUGGGAAACCGGGUCUAAUACUGGAUACGACCUUCUGGCGCAUGCCAUGUUGGUGGAAAGCUUUUGUGGUUUUGGAUGGACUCGCGGCCUAUCAGCUUGUUGGUGGGGUAAUGGCCUACCAAGGCGACGACGGGUAGCCGGCCUGAGAGGGUGACCGGCCACACUGGGACUGAGACACGGCCCAGACUCCUACGGGAGGCAGCAGUGGGGAAUAUUGCACAAUGGGCGCAAGCCUGAUGCAGCGACGCCGCGUGAGGGAUGAAGGCCUUCGGGUUGUAAACCUCUUUCAGUAGGGAAGAAGCCGGCCUUU